AGCUAGUUGGUGAGGUAAUGGCCCACCAAGGCGACGAUCGGUAGCCGGACUGAGAGGUUGAACGGCCACAUUGGGACUGAGACACGGCCCAGACUCCUACGGGAGGCAGCAGUGGGGAAUAUUGCACAAUGGGGGAAACCCUGAUGCAGCGACGCCGCGUGGAGGAAGAAGGUCUUCGGAUUGUAAACUCCUGUUGUUGAGGAAGAUAAUGACGGUACUCAACAAGGAAGUGACGGCUAACUACGUGCCAGCAGCCGCGGUAAAACGUAGGUCACAAGCGUUGUCCGGAAUUACUGGGUGUAAAGGGAGCGCAGGCGGGCGAUCAAGUUGGAAGUGAAAUCCAUGGGCUCAACCCAUGAACUGCUUUCAAAACUGAUUGUCUUGAGUAGUGCAGAGGUAGGCGGAAUUCCCGGUGUAGCGGUGGAAUGCGUAGAUAUCGGGAGGAACACCAGUGGCGAAGGCGGCCUACUGGGCACCAACUGACGCUGAGGCUCGAAAGUGUGGGUAGCAAACAGGAUUAGAUACCCUGGUAGUCCACACCGUAAACGAUGAUUACUAGGUGUUGGAGGAUUGACCCCUUCAGUGCCGCAGUUAACACAAUAAGUAAUCCACCUGGGGAGUACGACCGCAAGGUUGAAACUCAAAGGAAUUGACGGGGGCCCGCACAAGCAGUGGAGUAUGUGGUUUAAUUCGACGCAACGCGAAGAACCUUACCAAGUCUUGACAUCCUGCGACGGACAUAGAAAUAUGUUUUUCCUUCGGGACGCAGAGACAGGUGGUGCAUGGUUGUCGUCAGCUCGUGUCGUGAGAUGUAGGGUUAAGUCCCGCAACGAGCGCAACCCUUAUGGUCAGUUACUACGCAAGAGGACUCUGGCCAGACUGCCGUUGACAAAACGGAGGAAGGUGGGGAUGACGUCAAAUCAUCAUGCCCUUUAUGACUUGGGCUACACACGUACUACAAUGGCGUUAAACAAAGAGAAGCAAGACCGCGAGGUGGAGCAAAACUCAGAAACAACGUCCCAGUUCGGACUGCAGGCUGCAACUCGCCUGCACGAAGUCGGAAUUGCUAGUAAUCGCAGAUCAGCAUGCUGCGGUGAAUACGUUCCCGGGCCUUGUACACACCGCCCGUCACACCAUGAGAGCCGGGGGGACCCGAAGUCGGUAGUCUAACCGCAAGGAGGACGCCGCCGAAGGUAAAACUGGUGAUUGGGGUGAAGUCGUAACAAGGUAA
Molecule: ribosomal RNA, 1231 nt
Filed under: metagenome
Description: bacterial SSU rRNA
Rfam family: Bacterial small subunit ribosomal RNA
Source: RNAcentral